Molecule: non-coding RNA, 647 nt
Organism: Pelobates cultripes (western spadefoot toad)
Lineage: Eukaryota; Metazoa; Chordata; Amphibia; Anura; Pelobatidae
Source: the annotation of a GenBank genome assembly
GCACCGUCGACACUUCAACGACGACGAGAGUGGAGGCCUAUCACAGCAGCCCUACGAGACGCAGGUCUGAAAUAUGCCUGGGGAUUCCCCUUCAAGCUUAUGGUGUUCCGGGGAGACCGCUCACAUAUCCUGAUGCCGGGAGGGGAUCCCCAACGCUUCUUUAGGAACCUCGGCCUACAACCACCCCCCCGACUUCCAGAUAUCUCUCUGCACCCUACCGAGCUUCAACAACUACAGACAGAGUGGCAAGAAGUCGGAGCUAGAGGCCAUCGCUGAAGCACUGUGGGUAUCGUAUAAUACACACAUCACACAACACCAUCCACCGCCUUAUACCCCACCUCAUAUUCCACGGAGACUGUUCAGUUUAAAUUAGUUCUCCCCUCGCUGUGAUGAGAGCCGACACUAGCCCCCUUUUUCGUACUCUGACUGGAACUCUAAGGGGAUUUACAUCGAAACCUGCCCUGGCUAGCCCCCCUUUUCAGCCAAUCCUCCAUUCUUGUUUUAACUGUAGGUUCAAUAUUAUGUUACUUUAUGAUACAUGCCAGUGCCCUACCUUAAAUUGUCGAGGAGGCUAAUACGGGAGUGGGUCUGGCCCCCUCGCGAUUUGCUUUGGGAGGGCUGUGGGGGGUACCGCAAUAGGCUUCAAG